UCAACUUCCCUUAUUUCUCUCCACCACCACCUCCACCACCACACAAUCCAGUUUCUCCACCGCCACCCCCCCACCAUCCAGUUUCUCCAUCACCACCACCCCACCAUCCAAUCACUCCACCGCCACCUCAUGUACAUCCUCCACCACCUCCCCAUGUGCGUCCACCACCACCAGCACCACUUCCUCCAGCACCAUCACCUAGUAACCAUACAGUUAUAAUAAUUGUAUUCGUCUCAUGCGGCGGCGUGUUCUUCCUAGCAUUCCUGGCCGCCGCUCUCUUUUGCUUCCUCAAGAAGAAGAAGAAGAAGACGG
Molecule: long non-coding RNA, 312 nt
Filed under: Gossypium barbadense (sea-island cotton)
Lineage: Eukaryota; Viridiplantae; Streptophyta; Magnoliopsida; Malvales; Malvaceae
Description: long non-coding RNA (GBAR_LNC001219)
Source: RNAcentral